This 6657-nucleotide long non-coding RNA is filed under the name Zea mays. RNAcentral's name for it is "long non-coding RNA (ZMAY_LNC001892)". Lineage: Eukaryota; Viridiplantae; Streptophyta; Magnoliopsida; Poales; Poaceae. The record is from RNAcentral.
AAUGAAUGAUUGUUGUGGUUGCUCUGAAAACCAAGACUGUUGCAAAUAUAGUAUAUUAGUUAUAGGACAAAUAUACGACCGUGUUGAGAAUAAAUGAGACACUCACGUUCACUUUUUUGUUGCGCCUGUGCGUUGUAAGCAGCAAUGUACUCUGAUUGUUGUCAGAUGAAUGCCAUUUUCUCUUAUCGCAACUCUUCAUGAAACCUUCCUUGCUGCUCCCUUAUUGUCACACCCGGUUUUGGAAGGUAAACCGAAUGCGAACCAUGUACGUGCCAGGAUCAGAAAUUCACGUACACGGCGAUUACAUAAAUGACUCAUCAUAGCACAAUGCUUCGAAUAACAAUAAAGAUAAGUAAUAAUAUGAAAGACUAGAGUCAUUUACAUAAUAUAACCAAAGUACACAGAACAGAAACGUAGCCAACGUAAAUAAACCCACCACAGGCAGCUGACUGGGGGAGGUCGCUAGCCUAAUCCUCAAACUCGCCGAAGUCCUGAAACUCCCGGAGAUCCGCCUCGACGCCUUCUUCUUUACUUGAGCAUAGAUUGCACCAAAGGCAACAUGGUGUUUUGUGAAAGCAAGGGUGAGUACACAUCAACGUACUCAGCAAAUGCCCCGUUUGGCUGAAGUGGACUAGCUUUUUAUGUGGGGUUAAGCUCAAGCAGUUGCUUUUAGUUGGUCAGGUAUUUAUUAUCAGUGGAAGCCAAGUUUUAGUAAUAACCAACCCGUGAACCAUUUCCUCAUCGAGGAAACAUCAUUAUCAUCAUCGAACCAAAAUCAUAAAUAGAACCAUAACAUCUUGAACCAUCUGUAUCUCUAAUCAAAGAGGAUCCCAAGGCCGCUCAUAACCGUGAGCAUGGCUGAUAUAUCAGUUUCACUACCCUCUGCAGAGGUCGCACACUUUACCCAUGAGUCGUGAUUCCCAUUUUGCCCGGGGAUCAUGACUCCCCAUUGAUCACUUCCUAGGUGGUCCGGCAGGGUAUCACUACGUAGCUUUUACAAAGAUUCCCUAGAGGUCAUAGCCGCCUGUUAGGUUUCUCCAGUUUGAUAAACACAGUACCCCUCCCCGCAGGAGAGUGACUAACCAAAAAGCAAAACGAAAGAACCUCGGCACUCAGCCUCGGCAGAGCAAGCACUGUGCUUGGACCCCAUUGACGACACGACGGCGAAGCAACUACACCUCUAGUUCCUCUAAUUAAUUAGCUAAGGGCAUCACAUUUCACCCUCAUGGUUGCACUGUUAUCCCGGGUGGUCUCUCAACGAACAGGUCCUUACGGAGAGGUACUCGGGAAACAGCCCGAGUCCCCUAAAUGCCACAAGUAUAUCAUCAUAUCCAGAAUAAAAUCAUAGUAUCAUCAUUGUAUCUCAUCUUGUUCAUUGAUUAAAGUAAAGCGCUAGCAUGUAGCUAACCAUAACACGCACGACAGGCGAGAGAACUAAAUAGGUGACGUGUUUAUACUAAACAAGUAUUAAUAAGAAUAUUUAAUUCGAUAUAAUUAUAUUAAUUAGCAUUUAUGAAAUAUAGAUUAAAGCUACUUAGUUUUGACUAACUUACUGUUUUUAUUGUGGAUGAUUAAAUAAAUAAAUAAUUAACUGACAUGAGUGAUUAUAAGGGAAUAGUUUAAUCUCGCGCGCGGACAACGCGCGAUACGCGCGAACGGCGUGGCAAGGCGCGCGACACACGCGAACGGCGCGCGGCAACACGUGCGAACAAUACGCGCGACACUCGCGAGUGAUGUGCGACGAAGCGGACAAACAACGCGUGACGACACGCGCGGCAGCGCGCGAAACGGCACGCGGCAACACGUGAAACAGCAUGGCGCGUGAACGACACGCAUGACACGCGCGAAGCAACGCACGUGACACUCAAGAAUAACAUAUUGAUGCCAUGUUUAUACUAAGAAUCUAUUAAUUUAAAAUGGUUGAGUUGACAUUAAUCAUAUUAACAUGUAUUUAAAAAACAAAAAUUAAAACUAUACAUUAGGUUUAAUUGGAAGGUCAUUUUUAAUAACUACCGAACGAACAAUUAAUUAAUUAGUUAAAUAAACAUGUGUCAUGACCAAAUAGUACUUUCAAUGAGUAUACAAUAUUAUUGCGAAGUUGACACAACUAAAACGAGUCGAAAUAAGUUUACGAUGCAAAAGAUAUUGAAUACUUAAUCAGCCACAGUUUACUACGAUCUGACGCAAUUCUAUUGGCUGAUGGCUUACCACACUGAGAGCCACACAAAGAAAAGCCACAAAGCAUCCUGGGAUCUAGCUAGAUCGUGGUGCACUAGGAGAUUGAAACGUGGCCAUGAAUCAUGGGAAUAGACUAACGGUUCCCUUUUCUGGCUUCUUCAACCCACGAACACAUAUUUUCCUCUCUCCUACACCUUUGACGGAACGAGUGGUUGCAAAGCACGGGGGUCGCAUGGGAGGCAGGGCACGGCUGGGUGGGCUCGCCGGCGAGCGGGGCUUACGGUGGCGAUUGGGCGCGCAGGGGCUCUGCCCAGGCCGUUGCGCCUGGCAGCAGGCCGGCUAGCUGUGCCGUCGUGCCGAGGCUGGCGGUUCGGUCAGCCAUGGCCGCGAAGGGCGUUGUAGGGAGGGGCUGCAAGGGUAGACGCACGACCACACAACAGAGAGAGCGAGGACGGCUCAGCCGACUUCGCCGGGGAAGCGCGAAUGACGAUGGAUCGCCAUUGCCACAGCUCGGACGAGGCAAAGAAAACAAAAGAGAUGGCCACGCUCUGUACUCUCACCUUGCGACGAACUCGAUGAGGGAGAAUCACGGGCGUAGCCUUCUCCGGGCAUGGCAACGCGUAGCUUGGUGGCGAGCGCAACUCCAGGACUGCUAUGCAACUGAACUGCAGGGGGCUUGAAGUCCGAGCAACGUGGGCGGGCCAUGAUGGAGUGGGGGCUAGUUUCCUUGGCGUUCGGAUGCACGGGGCUGAGGCAGUUGUGAAGGGGGAAGCAAGGAGAUGAUAUGGGGGCCCGCUGCGCAAACAACGACUGGGCGAGGGGAGGCUCACGCGGCUCGAGCAGCCACGCGUGUGUCCACGUGCAACAGGGUGCGCCGGGCUGAGGGAAAAAGGUGAGGAGAGGAAAUUUGUUUUCCCUUUUUUUAUUCUUUUUCUUUGUUUUUUAUAGGUAUAGAUAUAUGUAUUUAUAUAUAUAUAUAUGAACAUAUUUAUUUAUUAUUUGAUCAUCCAAAAGUAAUAUUUUUUCUGAACGGGAACACCCUAAGACUAUUGUAGCAAACAAGAAGUUGUGCCUCGACAUGAGAAACACACAUGUAAUCAAAAUAGUACCUAUGUAUUCCAGAUAACUAUCCCUUAUUUAGAAAAAGAAAAGAAAAGCAAGGAAAAGAGAGGGUAACACCUGAAUAUGGUGGGUAUUAGAAAAGAAAUUUUAUACCCUAAUUUCAGGGUGUUACAAAUCUAACCCCCUUAACAGGAAUCUCGCCCCCGAGAUUCAAGAAGAGGUUAGCAAGAACGACUAGGUUGGUUCUUAGGUUGUCCACGACUUUCUUGAGCUGACUUUGACUCUGUAAGCUUAACUUGGGGACUAGUUUGCUUUGACUUUCAGAUGCUUGAGACCGAUCGAUGCAAUUCUUGAGGAUCUCUUGGACCUAUGGGUUAGGACCCACACAUGCUUUCGCUGCACCAGUUUGAUCUUAUUGGUUGAGAUUGAACACAUUGUCUUCAUUGGAGUUAUCGGCUAACCCCCUUAACAGGAGCGUUGAUAUGCACUUGGUGAAGAUGCUGCCGACUCUGAUCUUGACUGAUUUGGAGGAGCUAGAGGUUGCCAAAUGGACAGGUGCAAAAGGAAAGAAUAACGAGAAAAGGUAAGUAAAGACGGAUUAGAGAGAGCAGGGGAGAACCCAACUACUUAACUCUAUGACACUCACCUAGUAAACUGAUGCCAUUGCGGACCAAAGGCCACAACACAGCAACACUCAUUUCAAAGAAGCAAAUCAGUCAUAGCACAAAGACAAACAUCACGAGCACACAUCAACAACAUCUUGUUGCUAUACGUUCCUUUUAAGUCAUGGUGGAUCUUUCUUAAAAAGGGAGAUAACUACUCUCUAGGGUUUUUCGAAGGAGGAGGAGAAGAAUAAUACAUGCUGGAUAGGGACACGAGCACAAUAAAGGAUGGAGUUUAAGCAAGGAUUGUAAUCGACAAGGGAGAAAAUGCAACCAAGGGCAGGGUAGGUAAACACCAUUCUCAAAUCGAGAUGGGAAAGAUGCUAAUUCGAAAGGUAGGCAUAAGAAAAGCAUCAUGGAAGGAUCCAGUGAUUACAAAGGUACAGGAGGUAACAGACGAAAGCACAUCAAAAGAUCGAGUUAAGACAAGACUUGCCACGCGACAGAGGAAAAAGGGGACGAACCAGAGCGGGGAGGGGUAAGACAACACUCUUUAAAUGAAAUGGGAGAGGCAGCUUUAAAAUGCAGGUACAAGAUAAGCAUCAAUGUAAAGAUCGAGUGACAAGGGUUAAGGUGAUAACAGACAAACACACAACAGGGUGUGUAUUUGAGGAAAAACUUGCAAGGUGUCAAAAAAGGGGGGCAAUCAGUGGUGAAGUAGGUGAGGCAUUAUCCUCGAACAGGGAUGGAAAAGAGGAGGCUUUAAAGGGUAGGUUCAAAGUAAGCGUGAAGGUAAAGAUAUAGAUAUUGCAAGGGUUAAAGGUGACAACGGACAAGAAUGUAAGAGAGGAGGUAAAUGGUCAUAAGAACAAAGAAUAUAAGUGCCCUAAAGGAUGGAGUUAAGACAGGGCCUGCAAAUGAAAAAGACGGGCCAGACAAGUAAAUUGCCACUCCCAAAUUGCGGUGGAAGAGAGGAGAUUUUUAAAGAUCAAGAAUAAAGAUGAGUAUCAAGGCAAGAUCGAUGGAUGGCAAGGUGAUGGUGAUAGCAAAUAAAAACACCGCAAAGGAUGGUAUUAACACAAAACUUGUAAGGCGACAAGAAGUGAGAAGAAAUCAAGGGAGAGAUAGGUAACUCGCAACUCUCAAACUUUCUCAAAAUAAAGGAGAGGCUUUUAAAGGAUAAGUUUAAGGUAAGCAUUUAGGUAGAUGACAUAAAUAUCGUAAGGGUCAAAGGCAAUAACAGACAAGAGUAUAGGAGAAAAGGUGAAGGCAUAGAAGAGCUAGUGGUAUAAGUACAAUAAAGAAUGGAGGUAUGUCAAGGCUUACACGCGGUAAAGAAUAGGACAUUGCCAAGGAUGAGAUAAGUAAAACACCGUUCUCAAAUUGGGAUAGGAGAUUGGAGAUUUUAGAUAACAAAAAUAAUGUAAUCACCAAGGUAACAUUGAGAGAUGGGAUAGGUGGAUGCAGUAACAAACAAAAGCACAGCAAAGGACGAAGUUACAAACUCGCAAGCCAAAGAAGAGGAUGUGACCAAGGUAAAGAUAGGUAAAGUAUAGCUCUCAGAACAAGACGGGAGAGAGGUGAUUUUAAAGGCAGGUAUGAGACAAACAUCAAGUAAGAUAUAGAGGUGUCAAAGGUAAAGGUGAUAAUAAUGAAAAGCACAAGGAUAGAGUUCAGGCAAGACUCGCUAGGUGGCGAAGUGGAGAAAACAGUCAAGGGUAAGAUAGGUAAGGUUGCAACAAAAUGGUUGAAGUAAAGAAAAUUAAUUACCAAGUGGAGUUACAAGGAGACAACAAGAUUACCAAGGAUAUGCAAAAUAAAAUGACCGCUCAUGGAUCAUGAAGAAACAAAGGUGGUCAAGGGCAUAUUAACUAAAAUGUCUUAAACAGAAAUUGGGAUAUAAAGGUAAGCAUAUAUAAAAAUAUGAGUAUGCAAGAUUCCAAUGGUACGAGCAUACCAAGACCAAGAGAGUACAAAUUGCCAAAAAGAUAGCGACUUAACAAUAGAAUAGGAAAGGGUUUCAAAAGACAGUAAGAUCAUGGACAUAUAAUCUGAAAUGUUUAAAUAGACAGCAUGGUUUUUUUAUUAGAGGUAGGCAUUGAAACAGGAGUAUUGAAUAGUCUAGGAGCACGAGCAUGUCAAUACCCAAGGAAUAGAGAUGGUCAAAUGGUAGCAAUUUAAUAAUGGAUGAGGAAAGAGUCCCAAAAGACUAAAGGCUAUGGUCAGGGGGCAUCUACAAAGAUGUCGCAAGCACAAGAUGAGAUCAGAUCUAAUAGAUUGAGAGAAGUAUAGACCAUACUAGAAUAAAAUACUUUUUGGCAACAGGGCAUAUAGGAGCACAACAUAGAAUUAGUCGAGGUGACUAAUAUUUUGAAGCAGAAUCAAGGAUGAGAUGAGGUAAUAAUCAAUAAGUCCUUAAAACGGCCAAUGCUACUCUAGGUCAGCGGUCCUAUAGUCAGCACGGCUUUGAUACCACUUAUGUCACACCCGGUUUUGGAAGGUAAACCGAAUGCGAACCAUGUACGUGCCAGGAUCAGAAAUUCACGUACACAGCGAUUACAUAAAUGACUCAUCAUAGCACAAUGCUUCGAAUAACAAUAAAGAUAAGUAAUAAUAUGAAAGACUAGAGUCAUUUACAUAAUAUAACCAAAGUACACAGAACAGAAACGUAGCCAACGUAAAUAAACCCACCACAGGCAGCUGACUGGGGGAGGUCGCUAGCCUAAUCCUCAAACUCGCCGAAGUCCUGAAACUCCCGGAGAUCCGCCUCGACGCCUUCUUCUUUACUUGAGCAUAGAUUGCACCAAAGGCAACC